UCUCUCUCUCUCUCUCUCUCUCUCUCUCUCUCUCUCUCUCUCUCUCUCUCUUUAGUUCGAUCUAUUCUAAGACAAGAACACUAGGAUUAGAACACGUUAUCAGCACGAUCCAGCUCCAAGAUCAACCAUCAAUAGUUUCUAAUAAAGGAACCAAAGAAAAGAUCGGCAAAGUUAAAGUGCAGAUAGAAUUAUAUGAAUUAAUGGAGAUAAGACUUACAAGAAAUCUGCAUCAUAGCGCAAAGAGUACCGUCAAACGUAGAUCCGAUAAGACGGCUCAGGUGAUACAGUUAGGCAUGAAUCCUCAUAAGGAGACUCUGUUGCUCUACUAUUAGGUCUCUUUUCUCCAAUGAAGGGAAGCACGGUGGAGAGCUGACCGUGCAAGCUGUACGCUUGAUUGCUAAUGAAGUCAAAACUUAAAAUUGCCAACUUCAUCCUAACUAUACUGAGGUGUACAUGUCCAUACGCUUUGACGAGGAUAUCGGAAAGCGUGACAGAGAGGAUGCCAAUGAGAGGAAGGAAACGAAGCGAGAAAUGUUGUCCAAGAUCAGAGACGAGGUUACUGCUGAUUACAAGGGAGCUACCUAUGAACCAGAUGCUAUAGAGCGAAGAAAGAUGCAGACAGAGACUCUUUCUGCUGUUUUUGAAACCUUUUUCCAUAUCCUGAGCGCAGAAGAAGACACAACGUUGAAUCCUGGUGGCUUGGAUGGCUUGGCCAACAAUUAGACUUGGACUACAUCGAAGAUCUCUUUAAAAAAAAAAACAGAGUUUUGUCUGAGAAAGAAAACCUGCUGCCACAAGACAAAUCCUCUCAACACUGUCCUGACCAAAAAAGCCUCUCAACACUGUCUUUUUCUAUCACAAAAGCUCCAGACUUGCAAAGGCCGUUCGAUCUAGAAGUGUUCACCGCCACGAGACGUUGCUAAUCUAAACCAUCAAAAAAAGUCACGACACAGAGAAACAAAACUUGAGCUUCACUGUCAACACUAAGCUGCGUCCAAGAUAAGUCCCAAGUCUAUGUAUUAAGGUGCUUCUUCAUCACUAUAGUCAAGGUAUCUCUGGUUUCCAUCUGAGACAGAACAAAGGAUAGAACUUGAGAAAAGAACAUUGCUGAAUGGUUUAGAAUAAUAGUGCUGGUAUCGUGUGUUGGAUUGAGUUUGUGGACUGGCUAACAUUUAUAGGCUUGGAUUCCAAGCAUUUGAUAGAGGUGGAAAGAGAAGCCAUCUUCUUCAUGAGACAUAUUAGAAGAAUGAAAUAGGUAAAGGAAACCUAGAUUCAUAGUGAGACAAAUAGGUCACAAUUAUUCCUCUGAGAGAGAUCAACUAAGCUCUCCAAGUUCAAAAGAAACAUCCGAGUGAAGCCAUGUGAUACUCUCCAAGUUUAGGCCUGAAUAGAUCUCACACUAAGUUUGUUCUCCAUGGUGAAGAAAACCAUUUGCCUACUUCACAAGCCUCCUACUUCAACUACCCUUGCUCAUCUCAAGUCAUCUUCAUUUCUGGUUCAUUUUCAGCCUCUUGGCUUUUACCCGAUGCUAAGUUUGCGGGGAAGUAUUAGAGAACAAACCGAAGUCAGGUCCAAGACCCAUGUAUGUUAGGAUCUUCUACAUUACUAACAAAGGAGAAAGGGGUAGGGUCUUUCUCAACGAAGCUUAUGCUGGUUAUAGUUUGAUCAAAGAAUACCAAUUAUUAAUAUUAUUGUUCCAAGAGAGAUUCGUUGCACUCUGUGGACGGAGAGAAGUAAGUGUAAUGAAAUGCAGGCUUCAAGUGUUAUCUUCUGAUCUUACACCAAACCAGAGUCGUGUACCCCACCCCCCCAAGGCAUUUGUUACCCAUUGUUUUUGUUCCAACAAAUUGAUAGAACCGUAUUUUAUAAAUUACGGAUUACUGAAUAUUGCAAAGAAUAAAAUAAUAAAAUUAUACCAAAUAGUAAAAAAAUGAUGAUAUAACUGCAGAGACGAGAUAUUAUUUUUUUU
This is an RNA transcript of Raphanus sativus (radish), 1969 nucleotides long. It is a transcript of the gene named nucleolar complex-associated protein 3-like, with no coding region annotated. The record is from RefSeq and is a predicted model, not a curated record. Lineage: Eukaryota; Viridiplantae; Streptophyta; Magnoliopsida; Brassicales; Brassicaceae. The transcript is spliced from 6 exons.